Molecule: small RNA, 816 nt
Filed under: Oryza sativa Japonica Group (Japanese rice)
Lineage: Eukaryota; Viridiplantae; Streptophyta; Magnoliopsida; Poales; Poaceae
Description: sRNA Os02g0120850
Source: RNAcentral
AAGGGGAAACAUAAUUUUCCAUUGAAGUGAAAUAAGAAGGAAAAGAAUAAACUGAGUGCGAUUACAUCAUGUCUACUUAUGAAACAGGGAUAACAAGAAUUUUUUUUCUCAAACACAGGAAAUACCAUCUAGGAAAGUUACCUAAUUGCCACGACUUGUCAGUCACACGAGAUAAUCACAAGGCAGAAAGGAGAAAAUGAAACAAACGGAUCGCUCAUUGCCUCGACAAAGAGGCCUUGCUGCAGCUGCCAGUAAACUAGGAUCCCCGGACCAUGAAUGCUGUUUCGCUGAAGCAAGACGCAACAAUAAUAAAGCCUGGCAACUUCAUCGUUCUUCUUCUUCGUCGUCUACUGAUGAUUAGAUCACAAAAUGGAGCACGCCCCCCUUUGCGCCUUUUUCUUCUUCUUCGCCUUGGGUGGCUGCAGCACCACCUUUAUUGCCGCAUCGAAAACGCCCUUGACUACUAGUUGGGUCUUUGAGCUGCAUUCGAUGUAGUAUGGGGCGCCUAUUUGCUUUCUUAGUUCCUCUCCCUACAAAAUGGUGAUAGGAACAGCACCAGGAUGGUCCACAAAAAACUGCUUGUCAUCUCGAAGAUCUGCCACUUUGUUCCCACAAGGAUGAUAGGCACACCAGGUGCAUAAUGCUUCAGCUCAGUCCCUUGCCUUCUUUGAAACAUUCUCAUAGCUGGCCUUGCUGAUUAGCGAGAAGGCCAGAAGGAAAACAUCAGCUCCACGAUAACUCAGUGGUCUCAGUCUGUUGUAAUCCUCCUGACCUGUGUGUCCCAUAGCCCGAGGUUGACGGUGUUACCAUCAACCA